RNAcentral lists this ribosomal RNA (612 nucleotides) under Triticum aestivum (bread wheat). RNAcentral describes it as "partial small subunit ribosomal RNA". Lineage: Eukaryota; Viridiplantae; Streptophyta; Magnoliopsida; Poales; Poaceae. The record is from RNAcentral.
AUGACGGGUCACGGGGCCACGACGCGUUACCUCACCGCCGCUGAUAAUGGUGAUGAGCUCAGCAGCAGCAUCGUUGUUGGUAAAUACCAUCGGCACUUACAGUCUACUCCACCUACAAAGAGCUAUGGGAAGGGCGCUGCAGCAGCAUUCGCUAAAGAGCUAGGCUAUUUUAACACAGGCAAACAUGUUUCCCAAAUGAAAGAUCGGAAAAGAGCAACAAAUCCCAUGAAUGAUGAACCAAAAAGGCGUACAGUUUUUCAAAAUAUUUCUGAGAAACAUUUAGAUAUGGAUGAUAGCAAGUUAGAUUUGAAGUUCUGUACAGAAAGUCGACAGAAAAAAAACUUUGUUGAGCCAAAGGACUUGUCCCAUAAACUACAGACAGAAGAUCUUACUUUUGGGAGUUCGACCAAGAGAUGGUACCAUUCCAAGAAUCGGACCUACCAAUAUGGGAGGUUAAAUACAGGAAACGAGAAUAAGGAAUUGGUUUUCUUCAGUGACGAAGAUACAAAACCCGCUAAAUCUGUUGAUGUCAAGGUGGCUAAUAAACGGCAAAUUGGUAACACAAUAGGGAUGUCACAACAGACGAUUCUAAGCAGGGCAAGGAGAAGGUGA